RNAcentral lists this ribosomal RNA (493 nucleotides) under uncultured bacterium. RNAcentral describes it as "partial 16S ribosomal RNA". It matches the Rfam family "Bacterial small subunit ribosomal RNA", at positions 28 to 506 of the family's 1533-position model. The record is from RNAcentral.
GACGAACGCUGGCGGCGUGCUUAACACAUGCAAGUCGAACGGUGAAGCGCCUUCCUUUUUGGUGGGUGUGGAUGAGUGGCGAACGGGUGAGUAACACGUGAGUAACCUGCCCCCUUCUUCUGGAUAACCGCAUGAAAGUGUGGCUAAUACGGGAUAUUCUGGGUCUGUCGCAUGAUGGGUCUGGGAAAGAUAUUGUUUCGGUGGGGGAUGGGCUCGCGGCCUAUCAGCUUGUUGGUGGGGUGAUGGCCUACCAAGGCGGUGACGGGUAGCCGGCCUGAGAGGGUGGACGGUCACACUGGGACUGAGCCACGGCCCAGACUCCUACGGGAGGAAGCAGUGGGGAAUAUUGCACAAUGGGCGCAAGCCUGAUGCAGCGACGCCGCGUGAGGGAUGGAGGCCUUCGGGUUGUGAACCUCUUUCGCCAGUGAAGCAGGCCUGCCUCGUUUGUGGGUGGGUUGACGGUAGCUGGAUAAGAAGCGCCGGCUAACUACGU